CAACCUAAGCAGUUAAGAUGAGCUUCACCAUGGCUGUGUGUCUCCGGAGCAUUUAACAGCACAACCUGGACCAGUUUAAGACCCAGUCCUUAAUGGUAUCUUACAGAAAGGCUAUUAUUAAGCAAAGAAUUCAUGUUGGAUCAAUUGCCUGUCCCACGUUACCAUAUUUCAGUUAGGAGCUAACAGCUUCCAUUAAUGUUUGAAGCUGUGAUCUUUGGAAGAUUUUAAAAAUACAACCAUAAUGUGAAUUGGGUUAUAUAAGCUUUACAGCACAGAUAGAGAUAAGGGAUAGAAACUAUGUGGGAAAUCACAUAAUCUCUCACUCCAGCCCAUCCUCUAGAGUUUGGAAAUCUGAUGAGUUCAUAUAUUCAAAGCUUUUGAUGGUACCUAGUAUGUAGGAAAUACUUGUGAAUGCUGACUCUGCUGUUGUGGUUGAGGCAGGAUGGAUGUGAGGGAGGUGAGACUAUGCUGGUUAAGCAGCAGGUGUGUGGCCUACUGAGGGGAGAGUUGGGCUCACUCCUUUGCACUCAUAGUCUUGGGCUCCCCCCAGCUGAGGCCAGCCUCCGCAGGACCAAUGUGCUCAUUUCUGCUGCAGCAGUUAAAUCAAACCAGCCAUCUUGCAGCCCAGGGUUUGUAAAUACUUGUUUGGGAUUUAUGGGUGCUUUGAGUUUCACAAGGGCUGAACCUUGACCAUUUAUCUGCUGAUUCAAGUUUUCUAGCCACACUUAAGUAAUAAAAAAAAAAAAAAAACUUACAAAGGUCAGAAUCUAGUCUGGAUGGCUUGUGGUAUUUGGUGGUAGAGAACAAGUUAUUAUAAACUAUAGAGGGAAAGAACACAUAGGAUGCUGUUGGCUUAGAUUCUUGCGAAGAGUCUCUGUCCCUUGUUUUAUGGUACGUUAGUGUAAAGCAUCUGUACUCACCACCACACAAGGCCUCCCUUCUGUCUGAGACAGUUAGGGUAUUAAUCUGUUGUAUCUCUGUUUGUCUACCUAUUUGGACACAAUUGGGAAGUUUCUAUUGCAUACAAGGACAAGUGGGUGAUGGUAAAGUAGGCUCUUCAUCUCAUGGCCAGCAUUGAAGAAAGACUACACACCACCACCACCACCAC
RNAcentral lists this long non-coding RNA (1108 nucleotides) under Cricetulus griseus (Chinese hamster). RNAcentral's name for it is "lncRNA (ENSCGRG00015036620.1)". The record is from RNAcentral. Lineage: Eukaryota; Metazoa; Chordata; Mammalia; Rodentia; Cricetidae.